GUUCGCUGCCGCAUAGGCAGCUCAGAAA
Molecule: non-coding RNA, 28 nt
Organism: Rhodanobacter sp. SCN 67-45
Lineage: Bacteria; Pseudomonadati; Pseudomonadota; Gammaproteobacteria; Lysobacterales; Rhodanobacteraceae
Source: Rfam